Molecule: long non-coding RNA, 716 nt
Filed under: Hordeum vulgare
Lineage: Eukaryota; Viridiplantae; Streptophyta; Magnoliopsida; Poales; Poaceae
Description: long non-coding RNA (HVUL_LNC006818)
Source: RNAcentral
GACAGCCCGCCCUGCCCCCUAUCUUCUGUAGGAUAAUCUCACCGCCGCAGUUUGCCGCUCUUCUUUGGCUCCUCGCGCCGCCCUCGUCUUCAUUGCAGUCGUCCCUCACUGUACAUCAGAAGGGCAAGAGGGCGUGCAGGCAAGAGCUGCAGGCUGCACUGUUGUGCGUGUGGGUGAGAAGCACGGGAUGCUCGUGUAGGCAGGAGAAUGGCCCGUUCAACCGCCGCCCUCCUCAUCUUCAAGCCCCACCCCGAGCUCGGCUCUCCAAAGCAUCUCCCUUUUGGUUUCAACCUCCACCCCCGAUAUCCUAUUAUCCUCCCUACCACCACCAUCCUCCCUGCAAACCAGCUCUGCUUUGAUCCCCUGUAAAACAUGCUGCUCCAUGCAUCGGUAGGUAAAAGGUGUCGACCGUGACAUCUAUCUCCCUCCCAACUCCUUGUGUUCUUUAUCUUUCAAAGAAUGUGCAGAAAUUUAAUGCUAUUUGUGGAGAGAGUACUGUUGUGCGGAUUUGUUUUGUUAUUUUGAAGAAUUUUGUAGCUAUUGUGUAGAAUAGUUUACAGAGAAUGUGCUAUUCUGGACGUGCCUAAUUGAGAUAGGCUUAGUCAUGGUCCCGAUCAUAAUCCAUCCUGCUUCUUGGGUGUUAACUGUAUAUCUUGUUAUGAUGAGACACACUUUCCAUUGUGUUAUCGUUUUAAUGAAUGUACCCAAUUAUUUCU